UACGGGGGGGGCAAGCGUUGUUCGGAAUUACUGGGCGUAAAGGGCUCGUAGGCGGCCAACUAAGUCAGACGUGAAAUCCCUCAGCUUAACUGGGGAACUGCGUCUGAUACUGGAUGGCUUGAGUUUGGGAGAGGGAUGCGGAAUUCCAGGUGUAGCGGUGAAAUGCGUAGAGAUCUGGAAGAACACCAAAGGCGAAGGCAGCAUCCUGGGAAGGCACUGACGCUAAUGUGCGAAAGCCAGGGGAGCGAACGGG
RNAcentral lists this ribosomal RNA (253 nucleotides) under uncultured bacterium. Its description in RNAcentral is "partial 16S ribosomal RNA". It matches the Rfam family "Bacterial small subunit ribosomal RNA", at positions 524 to 776 of the family's 1533-position model. The record is from RNAcentral.